This 450-nucleotide ribosomal RNA is filed under the name uncultured Glomus. RNAcentral's name for it is "SSU rRNA". It matches the Rfam family "Eukaryotic small subunit ribosomal RNA", at positions 569 to 1026 of the family's 1831-position model. The record is from RNAcentral. Lineage: Eukaryota; Fungi; Glomeromycota; Glomeromycetes; Glomerales; Glomeraceae.
CGCAGCCGCGGUAAUUCCAGCUCCAAUAGCGUAUAUUAAAGCUGCUGCAGUUAAAAAGCUCGUAGUUGAAUUUCGGGACUAAUAUGUUGGUCGUGCCUCGGUACGUACUGGUAUUUUUGGUUUCUCCCUUCUGACGAACCUUGAUGUCAUUAAUUUGGUGUCUUGGGAAAUCAGGACUGUUACUUUGAAAAAUUAGAGUGUUUAAAGCAGGCUCACGCUUGAAUACAUUAGCAUGGAAUAAUGAAAUAGGACAUUUGAUUCUAUUUUGUUGGUUUCUAGGAUCGACGUAAUGAUUAAUAGGGAUAGUUGGGGGCAUUAGUAUUCAAUUGUCAGAGGUGAAAUUCUUGAAUUUAUUGAAGACUAACUACUGCGAAAGCAUUUGUCAAGGAUGUUUUCAUUAAUCAAAACGAAAGUUAGGAGAUCGAAGACGAUCAGAUACCGUCGUAGUCU